UACGAAGGGGGCUAGCGUUGCUCGGAAUCACUGGGCGUAAAGCGCACGUAGGCGGAUUGCUAAGUCAGGGGUGAAAUCCUGGAGCUCAACUCCAGAACUGCCUUUGAUACUGAGGAUCUUGAGUUCGGGAGAGGUGAGUGGAACUGCGAGUGUAGAGGUGAAAAUUCGUAGAUAUUCGCAAGAACACCAGUGGCGAAGGCGGCUCACUGGCCCGAUACUGACGCUGAGGCACGAAAGCGUGGGGAGCAAACAGG
This 254-nucleotide ribosomal RNA is filed under the name uncultured bacterium. Its description in RNAcentral is "partial 16S ribosomal RNA". It matches the Rfam family "Bacterial small subunit ribosomal RNA", at positions 524 to 776 of the family's 1533-position model. The record is from RNAcentral.